CUGUGAACACAUCUGAGAUGGGUGUGCCUGAAAUAAAUACUAUCAUCCUCUUGGACAGAGAGGUGGAUAUGAUCACUCCAAUGUGUUCGCAGUUAACAUAUGAAGGGCUGCU
Molecule: long non-coding RNA, 112 nt
Organism: Nicotiana attenuata
Lineage: Eukaryota; Viridiplantae; Streptophyta; Magnoliopsida; Solanales; Solanaceae
Exons: 3
Source: RefSeq, a predicted model, not a curated record